Sebastes umbrosus (honeycomb rockfish) is the source of this 1535-nucleotide long non-coding RNA. RefSeq lists it as uncharacterized. The record is from RefSeq and is a predicted model, not a curated record. The transcript has 3 exons. NCBI's taxonomy places the organism in Eukaryota, Metazoa, Chordata, Actinopteri, Perciformes, Sebastidae.
AAAACUCAACAGAGAAACGUGGGGACAUUUUUUUUUUGGAGCCAGCAGGGUAACGUAAACAAGCGUACCCGACAACACGGUGCAAGAAGAUAAGAAAAUAUUGUUUAUGUCAGUUGAAGUGCGGUUAAAUGGAGUUAGCAGACAGUGAGGAAUGAACUUCAAAUGACAAUAUUCACAACUUGGAUUCAUUUUUCUGAAAAAACGUUUUGAUUCUUUUGGUCGGUGGACCCUUACGGACUAAAGGAAUAUAAAUAAUUGAGAAAUGGACACAUAUUCUGAUUUUAUGACCGAUUCAUAGGUAGGGAGUGACCACUUUUUUGUCGUCUCUUGUUCACUAUGUCGGUAAAUGUGAAUGAAUUAUUCUUUGGUGCUCUUCUCCGUAAAAUGAACUGAACGACUGAACUGUGGAAAAUCUAACUAAUCUAACUUUGUGUAGCAUGUCCAUACUGACAAAAGUUAUCCGGCAUCUAAUUGAUCCUUCGUAAAGCCCCUUCCUAGAACGGCCUCUGUCCAAUCCUACGUUAGCAACCGUAACUAGGCACAGGAGGCCUGUCAAGCUUUCAGCGGUGCAUAUGUAACCUGCAUAAAUGUUAAGUUUAGCGGAGUUUUUAGAGGGGAGUGUCGUAUUUUUCCGCUUUUCCGAAGCCAAAAACGCAAGAAGAGUGAUGUCUGAUAUGGACUAAACAGUGUGGAAGACCUCACUCACAGCUGAAUCCAUCGCAGAUCAACAAAAACUCCUUUGUUUGCUCCGAGAAAUACGAGCAUCUCAAAUCUUUGUUGAAGUGGAGUUAUGUGAAACGGCAGAUAUAAACAGAAAGCAGACAAUGUGAAGGUUGAAGUUACCUUGUAUGAUGAGUUGAGCCUGGGCCUCAAUGGUUGCGUUGCCAUUGUCCGCCAUGCAGGUGUAGAUGCCGGCGUCCUCCUCUGUGAGAUUGGAGAUCUGGAUACUGCCUCCUCCCAGCAUCUCCACCCGACCCUCGCUGGAGACAGAAAGAGACCAAGACAAUUAGUUAGAUGUGUCUGAGAACAAGUCUUUCCUCUCGAUUCCUUUUUAUAAAUAGUAUUAAUGACCUUUGGGUCUUUGGCACAUGUUAACUCUCAGCAUCACAUGCAGGAGACCUCAAGCCUCAACAUCUUUUUUUUUUUUUUAACCAGACUUGUAAAAAGUCAUUACAAGCCAUUUCCAUGAAGCAUAUUCCCUUCUCGCUCAUUCAGAUCACUGAGUGGUAAAAGGUUGCAGCCUCUCUGGAGCUCCAUGCUCACCUCCUGGCCUGAGGUUGACUUCACAUCUGUCUCCGUUUACCAACUCUCUGAAUGAAUAAAAGAUUCUAAAAGGCCCUGAAAAAGGCAAUUUGCAAUUCAUUUUAACAACCACGAUUUAUGGACAGCUUGAGAAAUCUCGUAGCACAAACUAAUACAUGUAUCCAAAUCAUGCUGAAGCUACAGCUGGGACUUGUACUGUAGUUUGUACAGUGUCAGUAUUGCAGUUGUUACAUCGCCUUAACAAAUGUUUUCAUUUUCCUUCAACAGCUGGU